This is an RNA transcript of Salvia splendens (bonfire salvia), 1039 nucleotides long. RefSeq lists it as uncharacterized. The transcript has 6 exons. The record is from RefSeq and is a predicted model, not a curated record. Lineage: Eukaryota; Viridiplantae; Streptophyta; Magnoliopsida; Lamiales; Lamiaceae.
CGCCGCGUCGCAAGGCUGUCAUGCCAUCAGUCCAUCCGUCGGAUAUCAGGUGCCGCCGAGCGGUGAGAGGCACUCGAGAAUCCACCGAGCAGUCGCUGCCGUCGGGGUCUCACUUCGGUCGGUGUCAUUCUCCAGCCAUAUCGGCUGCACUGUCAAUUUCGUUGGACUGCCGUGGACUUCUCGGCUUAGGUUGACUUGGAAAAAUUUGCAAGGAAUCUUCCUCUUCACCUUAUCGCAGCGAUUAUGGUUUGGGAAAAGGAAAAAUCCACGUUCAAGUAUUUGCUAUGUGGAAUUCUUCGGUUGCAUUCCAUGUGUGAUCUUGCCUCCCGGGUGCCCAAAAUUGAACAGAUUGCAGUCUACAAUUGUUGACGGUCAUUGUUUCUUCACAGUACCAAGAGGUUGCUCUAGCAUUGACUGCAUAUUACAAGGUAGCAAUCCAGGAUUUGGUGUACAUAUGCAAAGAGGCAGCAUUUGCUGCGGUUUGUGUAGAUGUCAAGUAUCUGCGGACCAACGAUUCAUCUAGAAGUGUAUCCCCUACUACUGAAGAGACCUUGAAUCACCUCGGCUGCAGUGUGAUUCUUCUCUUCAAUUUCUACAGUCUCUGUGUCAGCAAAAGUUAUUUCGGGAAUGCAUUGUUAACAAACAGGUUAUUUAUAAGUCAAUUUGAGUCCCGAAUCGUUCGUGCUGCAUCAGAAGAUAAUUUAUUCCAUGAGCUUGGGAAGCGGUGGAUUGCAGGAGCAACUAGCUUCCUGUGUUGGACUCGGCCCUGAUGAAAAAAGGAGUAGCUCUACUUCUCAUCUUUGUAGUCGUCAAAAUCAUGGUCUUUGAGGAUUCUGGUAACUCUACUUCUAAUCUUUUUCAGGUGUUGUUCGAGCCCGUAUAUACUCAACUUGGGAUGCUUCCUACUUAUACAUGAGUGCCUAGCUGCUAUUUAUUUUCAUUCAUGCCUGAUAUGUUGAUUUUUAUAGAGAAUUUAAAUGUUAAUUGACAUGUUAUGAUUAAGAGUAAAUUUCCGAGAGGUUGUCUCACAACUCUCUAA